RNAcentral lists this transfer RNA (87 nucleotides) under Armillaria gallica. It matches the Rfam family "tRNA". From Rfam's summary of the family: Transfer RNA (tRNA) molecules are approximately 80 nucleotides in length. Their secondary structure includes four short double-helical elements and three loops (D, anti-codon, and T loops). The record is from Rfam by way of RNAcentral. Lineage: Eukaryota; Fungi; Basidiomycota; Agaricomycetes; Agaricales; Physalacriaceae.
GCCUUUGUGGCGUAGUGGUAGCGCGUCGCACUUGUAUCGCACUUACGCGGCAUGCGAAGGUCACUAGUUCAAUCCUGGUCGGAGGCA